Octodon degus (degu) is the source of this 197-nucleotide long non-coding RNA. RefSeq lists it as uncharacterized. The transcript is spliced from 3 exons. The record is from RefSeq and is a predicted model, not a curated record. NCBI's taxonomy places the organism in Eukaryota, Metazoa, Chordata, Mammalia, Rodentia, Octodontidae.
GGUAUCGAGACUUUAUGGCUGAUAAUUCCUUUAUGAGCGUUACUGGAUUUUUCUCUCCUGCUGAAUCAUGAUGAUUAGACUUGAUUUCAUAUUCCAGCCUGUACUGAAUAUAAUCCAGAUCAGAGUCAGCUUUCUGGAACAUCAGUUCUAGCUUAUCGACCUCCGCCUCCAUGUUGAAUAGUUUAAAAACUUCACUU